RNAcentral lists this ribosomal RNA (4194 nucleotides) under Triticum aestivum (bread wheat). Its description in RNAcentral is "partial small subunit ribosomal RNA". Lineage: Eukaryota; Viridiplantae; Streptophyta; Magnoliopsida; Poales; Poaceae. The record is from RNAcentral.
AUGGACGCGUCGGGGGAGAUGCAGUGCGUGGGGCGGCUGGAGAUCGCCGCGCCGCCGCCUGCGCGCUACCUCCGCGUGGGCUCCCUCCCGGUCCCCACCGACGACUCCGCCUACCUCCCCGCCCUCCUCCCCUCCGCUUCCCCGACUGGGACUGGAGCUCCAAGGUAUCAAAUGCUGCCACUGGAGACUGACCUCAACACACUCCCCGUGAUUCCAAACCUCCCGGAGAAGGUUUUCCCAACGGAUGCGAAGAGUACUGAAGGAUUACGGUGUGGAAGCGGACUUUUCAACCAAAACUUAUCAAGGAAGUGUGAAGCACUAGCUGUGUCAGGCCUAGCUGAAUAUGGCGAUGAAAUAGAUGUGAUUGCUCCAACUGAUAUUCUAAAGCAGAUCUUUAAAAUACCUUACUCUAAGGCACAAGUAUCUAUUGCUGUUAGCCGUAUUGGAGACACACUCAUUUUAAACUCAGGGCCUGAUGUUGAUGAAGGUGAAAAGAUAUUUAGAAGACAAAACAACCAACCUAAAGGAUCUGAUCCAUCAAUUUUAAAGAACUUCGCGAUGCACUCGGUUAGGGCAGAGGCUUGUGAUUGCCCACCAAGUCAUCAACCAUCACAGGACAAGCAAACAGCAUCCAUGUUGCAUGGACCCUUCGGUCAUAGGGAGGGUUCCUUGGAUUCGUCCUCCUCGUCUAAUUUUAGCACGUCGCCAUAUUUGGAUCAAAAUAUCAGUAAAAGUAGAAAACCGUCACAUGGUACUUGUGAAAGCCUGUACUGGGGUGCAAGGGAAAAUAAGCAAAAAGUUCCAGGAUCGGACCCCAUUAGGAAAACCACUCGUGUUGGUGAAACCCCCAGUUGUGAGGUGCAAGAAUCUGAGAAGAGUAGGAGAGUGGGGAACAAUGGAUUUCGGAAGGUUUGCUUUUGGCAGUUCCACAAUUUCCAUAUUCUCUUGGGUAGCGACUUGCUUAUAUUUAGCAAUGAGAAAUAUAUCGCAGUCAGCUUGCACCUAUGGGAUGUUUCUAGACAGGUUACUCCAUUGAACUGGCUAGAAGCUUGGCUUGACAAUGUUAUGGCAAGUGUGCCAGAACUGGCCAUAUGUUAUCAUCAGAAUGGUGUUGUCCAAGGCUAUGAGCUUCUAAAAAAUGAUGAUAUAUUUCUACUUAAGGGUGUGUCCGAUGAUGGCACACCUGCAUUUCAUCCACAGGUCGUCCAGCAAAAUGGCCUAGCUGUCCUAAGGUUCCUUCAGAAUAACUGUAAGCAAGACCCUGGUGCAUAUUGGCUCUACAAAGGCGCUGAAGAAGAUGUUGUGCAGUUAUAUGACUUGUCCAUACUACCUGAAAAACGUACUGCUGGUGAUCAUAUAUCUACAUGCAGUCCUGUGUCCUCUUUAAUGAACAAGGGGAGAAGGGAAUCACUCUUCUCUCUGGGCACACUCCUCUAUCGUGUUGCUCAUAGGAUGUCUUUAUCGAAGGUACCUAGUAAUAGAGCAAAAUGUGCAAAGUUCUUCAGAAAAUGUUUAGAUUUCCUCAGCAAGCAGGAUCACCUGGUUGUCAGGGCAUAUGCUCAUGAACAGUUUGCAAGGCUCAUCCUUAAAUGCUAUGAGGAAUUGGAACUGACAACAGAAUCAUUUCUGCUUGAAUCGGAAGUUACUCUUACUGACUUGGAUGAUGAGUCUCCACAGUUGAGCCUUCAGAAUUUACCAUCAGAGCACGAUGAUGUAUUGACAGAGAUAAGCAAGGAUGAGCCAGCAGCCGUAGAUAUUAUGUUGGAGUAUUCACAAUCAGAAUCUUCACAUGGUCAUGUUGAUACUGGUACUGCAUCUUCAACUACAAAAGAUGUCUCUGAUGAUAGCUUGCUUAUGUGUCAGGCUGGAAACUCUCAGAUAUCAAAACCAAUUGCUGAUGCUAUCUCCUCAAAGUUGGCAGCUAUACAUCACGUAUCACAAGCUAUCAAAUCUCUAAGAUGGAACCGGCAGCUGCAGAACACUCAGGAUGAUUGUGUUGACAGUGCAGACACCAUUUGGGAGAGACCUGUUGACUUCUCUUUAUGUAGAUGUGGUGAUGUUGAUUGCAUUGAAGUUUGUGACAUUAGGGAGUGGCUACCAAAACUGAAAAUGGACCAUAAAUUGUGGAAACUUGUUCUUUUGCUGGGGGAAUCUUAUCUGGCACUUGGAGAGGCGUAUAGAAAUGAUGGGCAGCUUCAUCGCACUCUGAAAGUUGUGGAAUUAGCUUGCAUGGUUUAUGGGUCUAUGCCUAAACAUCUAGAUGGUGAUGAAUUCAUCUCAUCCAUGUCCAAUAGUUCGCUGUGCCUUGAAGAUGGUGAUCUAAACUCAAGCCUUGUAUUGGAUGAAGCGGAAUAUUUCAAGAAUGCAAAAUGCUUUGGUUAUGAUAUUUCUGCUCAACAGUUGCCUCCAAACUAUUUAUUCUGGGCCAAUGUGUGGAUGCUUGUAGGCGAUGUCUAUGCGGAAUAUCACCGAUUGGGCAGCCAUCAAGCACCGGUGCUCCAGGAGCAAAAGCCUGAAGGUGAACUUAGGAUGUCAAAUGAAGUUGCAAUGGAAGUCAAACGUCUUAAGAGAAAAUUGGGGAAAGAUAAGCAGAAUUGUGGAACAUGCUCACUGAUAAACUGUAGCUGCCAAAGUGAUAGGGCAAAUAGUGGCAGUAGUGCAAGCAGCAGUAGUCCUGAGGCCUCUACAUUGCAUGGAAGAAAGAAAAAUAAAAAAGCAUCUGGCAGGAACAUUCGUUCACAAUCUACUGAAAUUAUAGAGAAACCUAAUGCGCAGGAAGCUACGGAAAGUUCUGAAGAAACUCAGAACAGCACGAAUGAUACUCGUCUUGAGAAAAGGACGGUGGCAAAUGCUGAACCUGAUCAUGAUCACACCAUGGAUAAUCAGUCAAGUAAUGCUUAUGCUAUUCCUGAUAAACCUAAUGGCGAUGUUUCCAGUUCGAGCGGUGGUAUUUUUAAGUACCUUGGAGGUCCUAAACCAGGAGAUGCUGAAUACAACUUGUGUUCUGCUAUUCACUGCUAUGGUGCAGCUAAGGGAGCCAUAUUUGCAUUUCCUGUGCGCUCGGCAGAGUUCUCCACCAUCCUUAAGAAAAGAGGUUGGGCAUUCAAUGAACUUGGCCGCAUUAGACUUGAGAGUAAAAAUUUGAGUAGGGCUGAGAUUGCUUUUGCUGAUGCUAUUUGUGCAUUUCAAGAGGUCUCUGAUCACACAAAUGUUAUAUUGAUCAACUGUAACUUAGCUCAUGGUAGAAGAGCUUUAGCAGAGAAAUUGGCGUCGAAGAUAGAAGAAUUUCAGAUGUAUGAUCUUCCUGAAGGCUCAUAUAUGCAAUCUGUGAAGUCUGCCAAGUCGGAAUAUUUUCAAGCAAUAAACUACUAUACCGCAGCUAAGAGGCAACUGAAGUAUGCUAUUGCUGACAAUGAAGUUGAUAAAUCACUGUACAACGAAGUUUACACCCAGUAUGCCCAUACGCACCUCAGGCUCGGAAUGCUUUUGGCAAGGGAAAGUUUUUUAACUGGCAGCUACGAAGGUGGACUUGUUGAUGAAUCAUCUAACAGAACAGUUCUUGAGAUUUCAGCAAGUGAUGCUUUUCGGGAGGCUUUGUCUACAUACGAGUCCCUUGGUGAACUUCGCAAACAGGAGGCUGCUUUUGGCCAUUUUCAGCUUGGUUGCUAUCAAAGGGAUCUGUGCUUGAAGUUCCUGGAUUUGGUUAACAAGGAGGUCAAACAGAAGAACGAGGAUAAAUUUUGUAAGAAAGCUAAGUGGUAUGGUUCCCUAGCAGAGAAGAACUGGCAGAAGGCUUUAGAAUUCUAUGGUCCGAAGACGCAUCCUACCAUGUUUCUUAACAUCCUUAUGGCGCAAUCUGCCCUUUCUACUAGCAUCUCUGAUUCGUUUCAUUCUAGUGCGAUGCUUGAAGUGGCGCUGAUGCACUUGCUGGAAGGCCGCCAUGUUGUCGAAGCGAACGAGGAAUACUCAAACGAUGUGAACCUGGACAUAAAGCCGAAGUUCUGGAGCCAGCUGCAGAGCCUGCUGAAGAGCAUGCUGAAGAACCUGGACACAAGCAGGCCGGCAGCCUCCGCUGCCAGUCAGGCCAACGGCAGCGGCAGGGGAGACACGGCCAAGCUGAAAGAAAUGUACCGUCUGUCCCUGAAAUCUUCCUCUCUGGGCCAGCUGCACGCGAUGCACAAGCUCUGGGUCUGA